RNAcentral lists this non-coding RNA (44 nucleotides) under Trypanosoma brucei brucei. Lineage: Eukaryota; Euglenozoa; Kinetoplastea; Trypanosomatida; Trypanosomatidae. The record is from RNAcentral.
AUCCAAACAAAGUUAUAUAGAUAAAGUGUGACAUGUGAUAUAUU